Molecule: unclassified non-coding RNA, 276 nt
Filed under: uncultured fungus
Lineage: Eukaryota; Fungi
Description: sequence contains ITS1
Source: RNAcentral
UUUUUUCAUUAAUUUUGAUGGGUUGCGUGAGUAAACACACUCGCCAAUUAUUGAAAAUUAAGAUCAAGUCAACAUUUGAAAUGUUAUUAAUAAAGAUGGGCAUACCGAGGUACACCACAAAUUUAAGUUUGGUUACGUGGGACGCAAUAGUCGGAUCCGGCGGUUAGACCUUCACUUUCUAUUGUUUUCUGGCGCAGUGCUGGCGAGCCGAGGCCCACCGAGCGCAGUGCCGGAAGAGGUGUGGUAAUGAUCCUUCCGCAGGUUCACCUACGGAAA